RNAcentral lists this transfer RNA (66 nucleotides) under Tipula aestiva. RNAcentral describes it as "tRNA-Thr". It matches the Rfam family "tRNA". Rfam says of the family: Transfer RNA (tRNA) molecules are approximately 80 nucleotides in length. Their secondary structure includes four short double-helical elements and three loops (D, anti-codon, and T loops). Lineage: Eukaryota; Metazoa; Arthropoda; Insecta; Diptera; Tipulidae. The record is from RNAcentral.
GUUUUAAUAGUUUAAUUUAAAAAACAUUGGUCUUGUAAACCAAAAAUAAAAAAUUUUUUUAAAACA